AACAGCCGCGGUAAUUCCAGCUCCAAUAGCGUAUAUUAAAGUUGUUGCAGUUAAAAAGCUCGUAGUUGAAUUUCGGGAUCAAUUCGUCGGUCGUGCUUUUUGGUACGUACUGGCGUUAUUGGUUUCUCCCUUCUGACGAGCCAUGAUGUCAUUAAUUUGGUGUUAUGGGGAGUUAGGACUGUUACUUUGAAAAAAUUAGAGUGUUUAAAGCAGGCGUUAGCUUGAAUACAUUAGCAUGGAAUAAUGAAAUAGGACGUUCGAUCCUAUUUUGUUGGUUUCUAGGAUCAACGUAAUGAUUAAUAGGGAUAGUUGGGGGCAUUAGUAUUCAAUUGUCAGAAGGUGAAAUUCUUGGAUUUAUUGAAGACUAACUACUGCGAAAGCAUUUGCCAAGGAUGUUUUCAUUAAUCAAGAACGAAAGUUAGGGGAUCGAAGACGAUCAGAUACCGUCGUAGUCUUAACCAUAAACUAUGCCGACUAGGGAUCGGAUGAUGUUAAUUUUUUAAUGACUCA
RNAcentral lists this ribosomal RNA (510 nucleotides) under uncultured Glomus. RNAcentral's name for it is "SSU rRNA". It matches the Rfam family "Eukaryotic small subunit ribosomal RNA", at positions 569 to 1078 of the family's 1831-position model. The record is from RNAcentral. Lineage: Eukaryota; Fungi; Glomeromycota; Glomeromycetes; Glomerales; Glomeraceae.